Thamnophis sirtalis is the source of this 162-nucleotide non-coding RNA. The record is from RefSeq and is a predicted model, not a curated record. Lineage: Eukaryota; Metazoa; Chordata; Lepidosauria; Squamata; Natricidae.
CGUGCGGCCCGGUUUGCCACAACGAGAAGAUCACCGCUCUGCUGAACCGCGUCAAGCCGGAGAUCCAGGGCGCCAAGGAGAAGCUGAAUGUGAUUUGUCUCUGGCUGCAGCUCCUCGUACCCCGAAUCGAAGACGGGAAUAAUUUUGGGGUGGCGGUGCAGG